AACACGUUAUUUCUGCUGUCUGUGGUGUCUACUGAGGAUCUAAAGUGAGUAUUGGUAAUAUAUUUUAUCUUUUCUUAGUUAAUCUGUAAGUUAAACCACUUUUUAAGUUGGUUUUAAGCAGACGUUACCUCACUAGCUAGCUGCUAAGCAAGCCAUUGUGCUAGCCUCAGGACAAUGGUCUACUGUUCGAGAGAGACGUAUUAAAAACUCAUCUUAACAUAUUCAUUACUGGUUUCAUGGAAUAAAUUAUUGCAGUUUAUGUUAAUAAGUUUGCUAAUUUUUCAGGAACCUGUGGAACAUCAGAGACUUUGCAGCUAUUAGAGCUAACCUGUGUACUACUAACUUGCUACAGAGGAAGCAGCAGAAAGCUGAGCUAACAGGCUGUUUUGAAGGCAAUCCUCGGGUGUCAGCAGGAGGAGGUGACCACCUGCUUAACGGAGCACCCUGGUUCUGAGCCAGUUGCACCUUUGUGCUGCUCUUUGGGGAGGCGAUGCUCAGCAGACACAUGCCUCCAUGUGGUCAGGUGGUGUUGGUGUGAUAUGGGAGGGCACACUCAUGUCGUCAUCUCCUUGUGCCGUCUCCAGGAUCCUGAUGGAGUUCUCUGUGCCUAUAAAGCAGGGGUAUUUACUUCUGGGCCUGGAGGGCCGGUAUCCAGCACGUU
Non-coding RNA from Nothobranchius furzeri (turquoise killifish), 661 nucleotides. The record is from RefSeq and is a predicted model, not a curated record. Lineage: Eukaryota; Metazoa; Chordata; Actinopteri; Cyprinodontiformes; Nothobranchiidae.